GAUGAACGCUGGCGGCGUGCCUAAUACAUGCAAGUCGAGCGAACAGACGAGGAGCUUGCUCCUCUGACGUUAGCGGCGGACGGGUGAGUAACACGUGGAUAACCUACCUAUAAGACUGGGAUAACUUCGGGAAACCGGAGCUAAUACCGGAUAAUAUAUUGAACCGCAUGGUUCAAUAGUGAAAGACGGUUUUGCUGUCACUUAUAGAUGGAUCCGCGCCGCAUUAGCUAGUUGGUAAGGUAACGGCUUACCAAGGCAACGAUGCGUAGCCGACCUGAGAGGGUGAUCGGCCACACUGGAACUGAGACACGGUCCAGACUCCUACGGGAGGCAGCAGUAGGGAAUCUUCCGCAAUGGGCGAAAGCUUGACGGAGCAACGCCGCGUGAGUGAUGAAGGUCUUCGGAUCGUAAAACUCUGUUAUUAGGGAAGAACAAAUGUGUAAGUAACUAUGCACGUCUUGACGGUACCUAAUCAGAAAACCACGGCUAACUACGU
Molecule: ribosomal RNA, 496 nt
Filed under: uncultured bacterium
Lineage: Bacteria
Description: partial 16S ribosomal RNA
Rfam family: Bacterial small subunit ribosomal RNA
Source: RNAcentral